AAAUUGAAGAGUUUGAUCAUGGCUCAGAUUGAACGCUGGCGGCAGGCCUAACACAUGCAAGUCGAACGGUAGCACAGAGAGCUUGCUCUCGGGUGACGAGUGGCGGACGGGUGAGUAAUGUCUGGGAAACUGCCUGAUGGAGGGGGAUAACUACUGGAAACGGUGGCUAAUACCGCAUAAUGUCGCAAGACCAAAGAGGGGGACCUUCGGGCCUCUUGCC
This 220-nucleotide ribosomal RNA is filed under the name Salmonella enterica subsp. enterica serovar Uganda. Its description in RNAcentral is "partial 16S ribosomal RNA". It matches the Rfam family "Bacterial small subunit ribosomal RNA", at positions 1 to 219 of the family's 1533-position model. The record is from RNAcentral. Lineage: Bacteria; Pseudomonadati; Pseudomonadota; Gammaproteobacteria; Enterobacterales; Enterobacteriaceae.